Molecule: unclassified non-coding RNA, 364 nt
Filed under: Hevea brasiliensis (rubber tree)
Lineage: Eukaryota; Viridiplantae; Streptophyta; Magnoliopsida; Malpighiales; Euphorbiaceae
Source: RNAcentral
GAGAGAGAGAGAGAGAGAGCCCAGUCAAUUUAGUAUCUCUUUUUUCGAUCCAUUAUCAAUGGCCUAGUGAGAGUUGUCUUUACUUGUUUCAUCAGAUUAUGACCUCCUUCAUCUUGUAACUCUCCACAGUGUAAAUUGUGGUCGAAAUAGAUUUAAAGAUGUAUUUCAUGGAUGGCCCACAUUUUUCUCCCUGAAGUCCUUGUGCUUUAGGAAAAUUUGAACAGAGCAAUGAUCCAGCAUAUUGUCCACUUUUCACUGUAUAGCAGUCCACUUGUUGGCAACAGUCCUAAAUUAUCUUAUAUAUGGCCUUUUUGUCUUUGUUCAGCUUAUGUUUGAUUCUGCAAUUGUUUAUCCAGUGCUUGAU